This 440-nucleotide ribosomal RNA is filed under the name uncultured bacterium. Its description in RNAcentral is "partial 16S ribosomal RNA". It matches the Rfam family "Bacterial small subunit ribosomal RNA", at positions 338 to 795 of the family's 1533-position model. The record is from RNAcentral.
CCUACGGGAGGCAGCAGUGGGGGAUAUUGCACAAUGGGGGAAACCCUGAUGCAGCGACGCCGCGUGGGUGAAGAAGCGCCUCGGCGCGUAAAGCCCUGUCAGCAGGGAAGAAAAUGACGGUACCUGAAGAAGAAGCCCCGGCUAACUACGUGCCAGCAGCCGCGGUAAUACGUAGGGGGCAAGCGUUAUCCGGAUUUACUGGGUGUAAAGGGGGCGCAGACGGCGAUGCAAGCCAGGAGUGAAAGCCCGGGGCCCAACCCCGGGACUGCUGUUGGAACUGGGUGGCUAGAGUGCAGGAGGGGCAGGCGGAAUUCCUGGUGUAGCGGGGAAAUGCGUAGAUAUCAGGAGGAACACCGGUGGCGAAGGCGGCCUGCUGGACUGCAACUGACGUUGAGGCCCGAAAGCGUGGGGAGCAAACAGGAUUAGAUACCCCAGUAGUC